AAAUUGAAGAGUUUGAUCAUGGCUCAGAUUGAACGCUGGCGGCAGGCCUAACACAUGCAAGUCGAACGGUAACAGGAAGCGCUUGCUGCUUCGCUGACGAGUGGCGGACGGGUGAGUAAUGUCUGGGAAACUGCCUGAUGGAGGGGGAUAACUACUGGAAACGGUAGCUAAUACCGCAUAACGUCGCAAGACCAA
Molecule: ribosomal RNA, 195 nt
Filed under: Shigella flexneri
Lineage: Bacteria; Pseudomonadati; Pseudomonadota; Gammaproteobacteria; Enterobacterales; Enterobacteriaceae
Description: partial 16S ribosomal RNA
Rfam family: Bacterial small subunit ribosomal RNA
Source: RNAcentral